CAGCUCUCCGAGUGGUAGGGAUGAUUAUUGGGCUUAAAGCGUCCGUAGCCGGCUGAGCAAGUUUCCUGUUAAAUUCAGCGACCUAAUCGUUGAGCCGCGGGAAAUACUACUAGGCUAGGAGGCGGGAGAGGUCGACGGUACUUCCGGGGUAGGGGUGAAAUCCUAUAAUCCCGGGAGGACCACCAGUGGCGAAGGCUGUCGACUAGAACGCGCUCGACGGUGAGGGACGAAAGCUGGGGGAGCGAACCGGAUUAGAUACCCGAGUAGUCC
This 270-nucleotide ribosomal RNA is filed under the name uncultured archaeon. RNAcentral describes it as "partial 16S ribosomal RNA". It matches the Rfam family "Archaeal small subunit ribosomal RNA", at positions 477 to 747 of the family's 1478-position model. The record is from RNAcentral.